AGUUGCCAGAAAAAUUCUUGAUCCUUCCAGAAACUCCAGCGCGCAUGCUCUCAACAUCGUGUGACUUCCGCUGUCAUAACAAUAUAUAUAUAUAU
Limulus polyphemus (Atlantic horseshoe crab) is the source of this 95-nucleotide long non-coding RNA. RefSeq lists it as uncharacterized. NCBI's taxonomy places the organism in Eukaryota, Metazoa, Arthropoda, Merostomata, Xiphosura, Limulidae. The transcript is spliced from 3 exons. The record is from RefSeq and is a predicted model, not a curated record.